GAUGAACGCUGGCGGCGUGCCUAAUACAUGCAAGUCGAGCGAACAGACGAGGAGCUUGCUCCUUCGACGUUAGCGGCGGACGGGUGAGUAACACGUAGGUAACCUACCUAUAAGACUGGGAUAACUUCGGGAAACCGGAGCUAAUACCGGAUAAUAUUUCGAACCGCAUGGUUCGAUAGUGAAAGAUGGCUUUGCUAUCACUUAUAGAUGGACCUGCGCCGUAUUAGCUAGUUGGUAAGGUAACGGCUUACCAAGGCAACGAUACGUAGCCGACCUGAGAGGGUGAUCGGCCACACUGGAACUGAGACACGGUCCAGACUCCUACGGGAGGCAGCAGUAGGGAAUCUUCCGCAAUGGGCGAAAGCCUGACGGAGCAACGCCGCGUGAGUGAUGAAGGUCUUCGGAUCGUAAAACUCUGUUAGUAGGGAAGAACAAACGUGUAAGUAACUGUGCACGUCUUGACGGUACCUAAUCAGAAAGCCACGGCUAACUACGUG
This 497-nucleotide ribosomal RNA is filed under the name uncultured bacterium. RNAcentral's name for it is "partial 16S ribosomal RNA". It matches the Rfam family "Bacterial small subunit ribosomal RNA", at positions 28 to 507 of the family's 1533-position model. The record is from RNAcentral.